AAAACAUGUAAUGAGUGAAAGUUCUCGACUUUUCAAUAGCUGAGGACUGAGGAGGAGAAGAAGAAUGAGAAACCGUGCGAGAGUAGACGUCAGCGAGAGAGGCUCCCCAGCCACCAUUGAUGAAGCUGUACUGAACGAUUGAAGAACCGAAAAGGACGAUUUGAGGUCUUCCUGGUCCAACCAUGGCUAAGCUUCCCUGGUCUGAUCGAUCUCUCGCGUGGAGAAGGAGAACACUUUGCUUGGUGAAUGUUCAGUGUAAUAAAACCUGAAGUGUGUUAUUGGUUAGAACACCUUCGUUCAUGUAUUAAAAUGGAUUUCCAAAUCCAUAAAAUUAUUAUUUUAAUAAAACAUAAUUAUUUUUUUAUGUUUGGGCAAGGAACAUGCAUUUCUAGAAAACAAAGAAUAUAUUCCUAAUCACAACAAAAAGUUUAAUCAUUUGCUUAGUUAGAUCCUCGCCACAUUGACACUUCCAUAAUAAUUAAUUCCUAAAACCGAAGAAUAUAAAGUAUAUCUAAUCCUAUGUGGUCCCAUUAGUCAACAUAUUUCUGAUUUUUGUAGAAACACUAAAAAUAAGUAAAUUGUACAUUACAAUUCAUGCAUGUUAUCGAAGAUAGUUAUUAUUAAAUUAGAUGAAUUUUUAAUCUAAAACUAAUUGUUGAUAAUCUAUCUUAUAUCAAUAUUAUUAAAACAAGAAUGCUUUUUGACAUCCCUUUGAUUUUGCUAGAUAUUUACUUUUUGUGCCGCUGAGGGUCUAAGAAAAUAUUGUUAGUUAUGCAUAUUUUAUCUAUCUUCAAGAGUCAUAUUAUCCACCACACGAAGUAUGUUUUAUAUAAAACCUCAUCAAUUAUGAAGUUUCCUACAUUUUUCUACUUAGGGUCGGAAUAAUGGAUUGAGCGGUGCGGAACAAGCAGAUUUAGAAGCGUUGUACGAUUUUUGCAGUUUUUAUAAAAAAAACGAAUGCUACGGAACAACUGCGAUUCGUUUAAAAAAACGGUUUAAAAAAAAGGUAUGAAUGGCGACAUAUAAUGAAUAGUGUAAGUGCGGGCUACAUAUAAUAUAUUUAUAUUUUACAAACUAAAAACUUAGUGAUAGUAAUAUAAUUUCUAAAUAUAGAAAUUUUAUUCUAAAAGUUAUUUUAUAUAUCUGAAAUAUAAAAUCUUAAAAUAUAAAUUUUAUUUUAAAAAUUAUUUUAUAUAUCUGACAUAUAAAAUUUAAUAUGAUAUUACCUAGAUUUAUAGUCAAUUAUUUUAUUUUUAAAAUUAUAAUAGCACUAGUUGUCUUUAAACAAAAUUAAAUUAAGAUAACAUUGAUACUUAUUUAGUUUAAACAACUUUUUUAUUUAAUUUAUAAAAAUAUUUUAUAUAUCUGAAAAACUUUGCAAAUAUUAUUCACAUAUUUUCUCAUCUAAAAUAUUGUAUUGUCAAAUUUCAAAACCGUACCUAGACCUAAACACAUUUAUCUUGAACCAAACCGAACCAAAAAAUGAGACUUGAUUUGGGUUUGGAUCCUAUCAAUUAUACUAGUAAAUCCUAUAUUCUUAGAAUCAGAAAAUCCAAAAUCAAACUGGAAAUAAACCAGGACCGAACCGGAACCAAACCGAAAACCUAACGGAAACUGGAAAUGUCGUUUAAACAAAAUUAAACAAAUUAUAAUAUUUAUUAUAAUUCAAAAAUUAAACUUUUAACUUAUUUGAUAAAUCAUAAUAUUUAUUAUAAUUUAAAAAAUUAGCAUCUUACCACAAUAUGAACCAUCUAACACGUUUAGAAAUAUUUAUAAUCCAUCUAUAAAAAAUAACUAAAUCAUAUAGUUAGUAUCUAUUACAAGUAAAAAGAAAACACAUGUGUUAGGCUUUGUAGGUGUCUAUCUAUUACAUAUGGAGACAACAGAAUGAGAGACGUCAUUCACAGCUCACUAAGCCAAUGGAUCAGUUGGCUAGAAUCAUUGAUAAGACUAUUAGGCAAAGAAUCAUAUCUACAAAGUAUUAUGAGAAACCGAAACUCCGGAGAUUAUUGCAAUGUUGGUUUAGUGCCCAUGCGAGACAUAAUUAGUACUCGGUUAUUUAUUUCUUUUUAGAUUUGAUUGUACAUAUAUAAACAUUCACAUUUCAUUAAAAAAAACACCGUACGGACGCACGGAUCAUAAUCUAGUAAUAGGUUUAUAUUUGAAGCCCUUUAAUAUGGAACAAUGUAUAUAUUUGCCUCUUUGCAGAGAAAAUGUCGCCUACCAAAAAUUUAUUAUACCAUUCUGACACUAAACCUUUUAAAACAAGUUGUUGCAUUCAAGUGAAGACUAUUCAUACAUGUUUUUUUUAAGAUCAUUCAUACAUGGGAGAAAUUCAAACACAAAAUUUGGUGAAACACGAGAGAUCAUAUUCGCUAAUGAAAAGGUUUACCAAUAUUCACUUACUGACCAAACUAAGUGAGCUAAUAUUGAUCACAAGUUGUUCUAUUAAAUUUUUUUUGUUUGAUUAAAGAUAUUAUUAGUAAUGGUUUGAUGCAAGGUGUUAAAAUACACGCAACUAGAAAAACAACUUGGUGCUUUGGGGAAGUCCUCUCCACAUCGACCAGACUUCCAUAACAAUUCCUAGAAAACAAAGUACAUUUUGAUUUUUGUUCUCUGUAGAAACACUAAAAAUUAGUAAAUAGAACAUUGAAAAUCACGACGGUUCUCAAGUCUUGCGUGGUUAUUAAGAGUUUGGGGUUCACUAGUUUAGCUGCAACUUGAGGUGUCAAACAGACCCCGUCUGUGGUUGACAAAUUUUUGUAUUGUUCUGCUAAGCUCCAUCGGUAACGAGUUUAUUUUUAAAUAAAAAUUCCACAUUGAAAGCUCUUUGACACACGUAUCAGAAGCUCAAAACUCCACACUGACACCCCUUUGUUUUGAUGCCCAUAUUUGUAUGUGUUGUGAACUUGUGAUAGAUGAAGGUUACCGACAGAUAAAAUUUUAAACGUAACAUUAAAAAAAAUCAAAAAGAGAAUUUUGAGAAUAGUAUACAAAUAAAUAUGAAGAAAUCAAAGGAAACAUCCAUGAUCCAUCCACAAUCUAACAAACCUUCCGCCAGAUGCUUUCUAUCUAGUGAACUGGCUUAAGAUCCCAACCUCAAGAGAAGCAAAGUGGGUAGAGAAGACGGUACAAGGACAUGAGGAAAGGGAGUUACAUGAUACAUGUGUGGAAUAAAGUCACAAGAAAUAUAUGGAUACUUGCUCUCAUUGCAUUAUAUUUUUUAGUAGAUUGAUGAGUAGCGUUUCAUUCUCCUUUUGGGAAAGGCGUUUCACAAAGGUAGAUGCGUAGGAACCGUAGUCUCUAAGAUGGAAGAGCCUCGACACACUUACAGAGGGUACAUUACCAUGUUGACUGUCACCAAACCUUAUUGUGGCCGAUCGCGGCAUAGGUAAACUCUACUGAUUUGCUGAUUUGAAACUGCUCCUGGAAUAAACUAUAGUUGAACUUGUUGGAGACGGAUUUCACCCGCUCUAGACUCCGUUCAAGAACCCAACCCAGAAUCUGUUAAACCGGAAAAUAGACAGCAGGCCCAGUCCCAUCUCGAGCUAGAAAGACGGCCCAUGCCGAGCUCACAUAAUCAAACCUGAGCUGAAAGAGAAUCAAAAGCAACAUCAUUAAUGGCCAUGAUAACAGCCAUAGAUUACGAGGCCAUUAUGAUUCAACCUUGAAGGCCUAUAAAAACAAGACCAAAGACAAGAAGAAGGACUGAAUUCUCAUAGAGUAAUACUAUACUUUCAAUACAUACAUACUUUUUUGUUCUUAGAUAUCUUUUGUAUUCGUACUUGUUUUCUGCUCGUAUCAUCAAUAAAACACUUCUUUAUACAGAAUCAUCGAUACAUAGUCUACAUUCCUUCUUGUACAGGUAACGAAACCCUAAACCUAAUUUCUGAAGUGGAUUUUGAGAUCCAUCAGAACUUCUUGUCAUUCUGAUCGUGUCUUGAUCAACUGCAACGCAUGCCUCUCUUUAGUUUAAAAUCUUGUUUUGCUUACUUGUCAUUGUGCUUUACAGCCACUGAGCUUGUUACAAGAUCAAUCAAAGCGAUGAUGUAAUCAGGCUGUAAAGUGUAAAGGAUGACGUUGCCACUUCUUUUUUCAUACUUCAUCCUAAGGCCAUAUAGGGAAAAUGUUGUAUUACGGAUAAUAAACAUAAAAAGACUUUAACUAUAUUUGGUUUAAAGAAAUAUUAGGGUUUGUACAAUUCUUGUCUCAUGUACAUGGAGUAUUGGCUUGAGUGAAUGAAAAAGAACACGAAUGUCCAAAAAAAUUUGUUAAAGAAAGUUUUGUUACAAAACCUAUCAGCUACCAUGUUAAGCUAUGCUUGCUUAAGUUUUUUUUUUUUGAAAAAAAAUGCUUGCUUAACUUUGGACUUUGGACAUAAAACAUAAACAAUGUUUUUUGAAUAAUUAUAUAUGUUUAAAGUUUUUUGAGAAAUUUAUGAGAGUUGAACAAUAGCAACUAGUUUUUUUUUUCUUUUUGCUGACAAAAAAAAAAGCAGCUAGUUUUUUCAUUUCUUUUGCACAAUCACCUUUUUAAAAGACAAUAACUGCAAUCCAUCUAUGUUAGCAAGAUUUUGUUUAUCCAUAAUAAUCCAUCUUCCAGUUCCAACGAUAAAAGGUGUGAUAAAAGAUGAAAAAAUAUCUGUCUCAAAACUCACAUGGCCAAAAACAGAACAUAUUGAAGACUGUUCACCUCUCGCCACAUAGUUAUGACUAUCUUAGCCCACAUCGCAAAAGCAGAUCACUGACAUUCACACUGUGUGCUUCGUUCAUAACUUUUUCAUUCUCAAAAAGAAUUCUUUGCUAUUAAAAGAAACAUUUCUAGAAAAAAACAUUUUCAUUAUCAUUUUACAUUUUUUUAAUACAAUAACAACAAAAAGUCAGAUUGAAAGCACAUGAAUAGUCACUGAAUUCAAACGAGAAUAUUAGUAAAUAUACAUAUAGUGGAUGUCCAAAGUACAUGUGAAACGAGAGCCUAUGAUAAGGGAGGGUAACGAUUGAGUAGUGUCAUGAACACAUGCCAUAUUUAAUAAGAGAGACGAGAACGGUCCUCUUUUUUUUUUUUUGUCAACUGACGAAAACGGUCCUCUGAUCCUUUCUUUCAAGUGUCUGUUCAGAGAGAAAGAGUGAGAAGUAAAUAAUGGCACGUGACUCAGACGAAGAAGCCACGUGCGAUCUCUCCCCACACCCAUGUGCCCCAUAUAGAAUGACCGGCUCCGUAGGUCCAACUUGUCCAUGUUCCCAACUUAUUUCCCACCUAAGGCUCCGAAUGGUGACUGCGAUUAGAGCGGUGCAGAACAAGCGGUUCAAUUGCGGUGCAGUUUUAACAGUUAUAAAAAUGUAUAGAUAUAUAGUAUAUGUAGAGAUUUUUGUUACUGUUAACUGCGGGGCCGGGCGGGACGAUGAUCAUCAUUCGAAACCUAAGUAAAACUUUCGAAAUUAAUAGUAUACGUUAAAAAAAAACAAAUAUUUCAUAUUGCAGUUUGAAUGAGUUUUGAUAAAAGAAAAGUCAACGUCGAAGUCAAUUUCAAUGGUUUAUUGGUUAUUUCGCUUAGAAAAUGUUAGAGAAAUCUAUUUUUACUGAAAAAUAGAUAUUGUCUAAACAAAUCUAUUAACUAAUUCAUUUUUUUCUGAAACAGAUAUUAUGUAAAUAAAUCUAUUAAUUUAAAAAGUCUAUUAAUUAAUUCAAUAUCUACUAAUUAAUUAAAUAAGUUUAAGCAAGUGGUCUCGGCUUACUGGUAAAAGAGUUAUAGCUGGAAAAUCCGGAUUUUUAUAGGCCUUAUGGACCUCUUAAUCAGUAGUUAUUGGGUCUAAAAAGUUUUUAGGAUCACACCAAAAUUAAAAAUAUAUAUAUUUAGGAAUAUCUAUUGUAAGCGGCUCUAUUAAUUAGUUCAAUAUAGAACUAGACGAAUAAUUAUUUUGUAACGCUCCGACCAUCUACGAGUAACAUGCUUUUUACGUUCAUUUACUCAGCUGGUAGACCUAUCUAUUCUUUCUAACACUCCUCAAUCAGGUUCAUAACUAUUGUUGCUUGUGCACAAGAAAAUGUAGUGUGGACAGUGCGUUAAUAAUUUAAAAUGCUUGUUUGGUAAUUUUACAAUUCACUUAUAUUACCACUACUUCGUUCAAACACGCUUAGCUAUAAAUUUUUAUAGAUAUGUAAAAAUGCACUUUAAUAAUAUAAAUAACGAAAUCAAUUCUUUUAAAUCAUUAUAUAUACACUACAAUUACAAUAUAUCAUAAACGGGUUUAGCAUUUGUUAACAACAAAACGCAUGCUCAUAAGGAUUAUGUUACUACAAGCCAGGUAAAAGAAGAGAACACAUAUACAUUUAGUUAACCUAUUGUUUUAAUAAUACCAAUCACACGCUACGAUAUUAUCGACCUAAGGAGUGAACAAAAAAUUACAAACCCCCCCCCCCAAAAAAAACAUUAAGAGCUUAACACGCAUUCAAAGGGGAUC
Molecule: long non-coding RNA, 6461 nt
Organism: Brassica rapa (field mustard)
Lineage: Eukaryota; Viridiplantae; Streptophyta; Magnoliopsida; Brassicales; Brassicaceae
Source: RefSeq, a predicted model, not a curated record